UGAAGCGGGCUGAGAUGGGAGUAGGAGAGUGAGGGAGGAGGACAGGGGACAUGGGGUUCGGGAAAGAGAAGCUGUUUGUGAAAGGGAAGGUGAAGCUGUUUCAUAUUAUAUUAUAUUUGUAUAAUAGAAUGUGCUUUGUGUUUCAUGGUUGUAUGCUUUCGGUUGGUUCGUUGGUGAUUGAUUUUCUCUUUUUUUUUUUUUUUUUUUUUUGGGUUUAAUUUUUCAGUCUGAUUUUUUCGUUUCUUUUCGUUUUUUUUUUCCGGUAAUUUGUGGGUCGUCGUCGGAGGUCAUCGAAUCGGAGUUGGCUAUCGGUCCAAGCCAACGGGGAGGAAUGGAUUAUGGAGGAGCAGAGGCAUGACAAUGGAAAUUUACUUUUGGGAGGAGACGCUGGACUUUGUUUUACCAUUAUUCCAAACGAGGAGGUUGAAAGGUUUAUACCGCAGAUAUACAUUGGGUUCUACCAUUGAUGACCAACAACAAGGAUCUUGAGUUUGAUAAUUAUUGUUUCGCUUAAGAGAUGGAGCCAUUCCUAGGCAAACAGGGGAUUCACGUCCUUUUAAAUAAAGCCUUACAAAAUUGGUACUUAGGCACAGAGGAUAUGGCUGGGAAGCAAACUCCAAUAUUAAAGUCCCCAGUCCUUUGCUUCAAUGUUGCUCUCAUUAAACUCUCCCUCAAUUCAUUCCUUUCCUUCCAUAACUCCUACCAGUUUCAUUACAUGCCUGAGACCUCCUUUGUCACCUCACUUGACCAUUUCCUACUUACUCACAAGGCUUAUUCACCUCUUAUGGAGACCAAAGUAAGCGUCCAGGAGCUUGAAGAUCUAGUUUUGAAGAGUAAAAACCAGAGGCUGUAUGAGGAGCAUUACUACCAUAUCAGUGUGCUGAUUAUGUUUGCGUCUAUGAGAUGCCAAGCAAGUUUACAUAUGAUCUUUAUGGAUGUUCAGAAAAAUCUACAGACAGACCUCCACUCUCAACUCUAAAUGGAAGUCCUGUGCACUCCCUCAUCGGGCGGGAGAUGCUGGACUUUGUUUUUAGCAUUAUGGCAAAAAUGGAGGUUGGAAGUUCCCUUAUGAGAUGGAGCAAUUCCUAGGCAAACAGGGGAUGCCAGUUCUUUUAAAUAAACCUAGGCAUCUGCUUACUCUUGCUGUUGUGCAGCCGCUGUUAGUUUCAGAGUUGAUGUCAAUGGUUUCUUGGAGAAGCACAACUAUUGAUGACUUUUUUAAUGUUAAUAUUACAGCCUUGCAAACUCCAAGAUCAAAGUCCCCAGUCCUAUUGCUCUCAUUACUCUCUCCCUUGUUUUCUUCUCUUUUUUUCCAUAACCCCAACUAGUUUCCUGACCCCAAUUCCAUCCCAAAGCUCAAUUAUACAUGCCUGAGACCUCCUUUGUGACAUCACUUGACCAUUUCGUUCUCAAUCACAAGGCUUCUCCACUUCCUACGGAGACCAAAAUAAAUAUGUGCAGUAGCUUGAAGACCUGGUUUGGAAGAGUGAAAACCAGAGGCUGUUAAGGAGCCUUACUACCCUAUCAGCAUGCCAAUUAGAGUUUAUGUCUAUCAGAUUCCAAGCAAGUUUACAUAUUAUCUUCUAUGGCUGUUCAGAAUCACUUGUGCACCACCUCCUCGAGUAGGGAGGAAGAUCUAUGCAAACUCAGAAUGGAACUAAGUGGUGCUGAGUGUGUGCUGACAGAGUAAUGCUCAGCUGGAGAUGGAGAAAAAGCAACAGCUCAGAAUGGAAUGCGCUAGUAAAAUAGUUCAGACUACUAUGUGUUGCAAUGCGGUUAUCUUUCACUUUUGUCACAAGAAGUUGAGUUUCGUCUUCUACUAUUAGGUCUACCUUUUGCCCAAGCGUUGCUGAUGAUACUCGAUUGUUUGAUGCUAUUUGUUAUUAGAUGUAGUAAGUGAUGAACUGGAGCUUCCUUUCAUCUUCUUGCAAUGGUUGAAGUACUUUGUAUACUCCUGUCUAGCUCAGCUGUUGGGUCCUACCACUUACAAUGAAAGGCUUGAUGAUAAACCCAUUAGGUCGACCUAAUGAAGCCUCAUUAUGUAUAUAUGUAUAGAUAUAUUGGUGAUUGCUUGGCUAAAUGU
This is a long non-coding RNA of Ziziphus jujuba (common jujube), 2083 nucleotides long. RefSeq lists it as uncharacterized. The transcript has 7 exons. Lineage: Eukaryota; Viridiplantae; Streptophyta; Magnoliopsida; Rosales; Rhamnaceae. The record is from RefSeq and is a predicted model, not a curated record.